UUAUCGAGUUUUGAACGGGUUGUAGCUGGCCUCUCACGAGGCAUGUGCACGCCUGGCUCAUCCACUCUUAACCUCUGUGCACUUUAUGUAAGAGAAAAAAAUGGUGGAAGCUUCCAGGAUCUCGCGAGAGGUCUUCGGUUGAACAAGCCGUUUUUCUUUCUUAUGUUUUACUACAAACGCUUCAGUUAUAGAAUGUCAACUGUGUAUAACACAUUUAUAUACAACUUUCAGCAACGGAUCUCUUGGCUCUCGCAUCGAUGAAGAACGCAGCGAAAUGCGAUAAGUAAUGUGAAUUGCAGAAUUCAGUGAAUCAUCGAAUCUUUGAACGCACCUUGCACUCCUUGGUAUUCCGAGGAGUAUGCCUGUUUGAGUCUCAUGGUAUUCUCAACCCCUAAAUUUUUGUAACGAAGGUUUAGCGGGCUUGGACUUGGAGGUUGUGUCGGCCCUUGUCGGUCGACUCCUCUGAAAUGCAUUAGCGUGAAUCUUACGGAUCGCCUUCAGUGUGAUAAUUAUCUGCGCUGUGGUGUUGAAGUAUUUAUGGUGUUCAUGCUUCGAACCGUCUCCUUGCCGAGACAAUCAUUUGACAAUCUGAGCUCAAAUCAGGUAGGACUACCCGCUGAACUUAAGCAUAU
This 632-nucleotide ribosomal RNA is filed under the name Irpex sp. 34A. RNAcentral describes it as "eukaryotic LSU rRNA". The stretch from base 223 to 376 matches the Rfam family "5.8S ribosomal RNA". The record is from RNAcentral. Lineage: Eukaryota; Fungi; Basidiomycota; Agaricomycetes; Polyporales; Irpicaceae.